CAAAAAAUGAACCACAGCCUGCUCUGAUCUGGUGACACUGAGAGACUGGUGGGACAGAAUAAAUCAGAAGGAAACUCAGCCAUUCUUCUUCUGAAAUAUGACAGGUCAGUUGAGGGGGAAAACACUGAAAAGUUUGUGGCCCAAAUCACUCUUCACAUUGAACAGCUAUGGAACAAGGAAGGAUGCAAUAUGAACUUUUCAAAAUCACAAAGAUUCCUUAGAACGUUACUUCAUUAAGCUUCUAGAAGUAUACCAGUGAAAAUGCUGAGGAAGUUGCCUGAUGCAAAUACCUAUCAUAAAUACCCCUGGGCCUUUUUUUUCUUUUCAUGUGGAAGAUGAAGCAAAGACAGAAAAGGAAAACUAAAAGUAAAAGGUUGGCUGCAUUGCUAAAAUCUGGAUCGUCACUUUUUAAGUACUUGCUUAAAGAUGUUUUCACACAUACAUCAUGAUCAUUAUCACGUAAGGAAGCUAAGUAUGAAUUUGGGAAUAGAACAAAAUUUAUCAGUGG
This is a long non-coding RNA of Gallus gallus (chicken), 508 nucleotides long. Lineage: Eukaryota; Metazoa; Chordata; Aves; Galliformes; Phasianidae. The record is from Ensembl.